RNA transcript from Mus musculus (house mouse), 2572 nucleotides. It is a transcript of the gene named SH3-domain binding protein 1, with no coding region annotated. The record is from RefSeq and is marked validated. NCBI's taxonomy places the organism in Eukaryota, Metazoa, Chordata, Mammalia, Rodentia, Muridae. The transcript is spliced from 18 exons.
AGAGCGCCGCCCACCCAUCCGGGGCGAAGCGCGCGGGGAAGCAGGCUGGGCCGGGGGCUGCCAGCCUCAACCCCCAAGGUGACUCCUCGGCCCCCUGCCCGGACCCAAGAUGAUGAAGAGGCAGUUGCACCGCAUGCGGCAGCUGGCCCACACGGGCAGCUCGGGACGCACCCCGGAGACUGCCGAGUUUUUGGGUGAGGACCUGCUGCAGGUAGAGCAACGGCUGGAGCCAGCUAAACGAGCAGCCCACAAUGUUCACAAACGGCUGCAGGCCUGUCUGCAGGGCCAAAGCGGGGCUGACAUGGACAAGCGGGUGAAGAAGCUUCCUCUCAUGGCUCUUUCUACCACGAUGGCAGAGAGCUUCAAGGAACUGGAUCCUGAUUCCAGCAUGGGGAAGGCCUUGGAGAUGACCUGCGCCAUCCAGAACCAGCUGGCCCGAAUCCUAGCCGAGUUUGAGAUGACCCUGGAGAGGGAUGUCCUGCAGCCGCUCAGCAGGCUGAGCGAGGAGGAGCUGCCUGCCAUCCUGAAGCACAAGAAAAGCCUUCAGAAGCUGGUGUCUGACUGGAACACCCUCAAAAGCAGAGUCCUGUGUGAUUACGUGUAUGGAGGGGACACUUAGCUCUGGCCAUGCAAUGGGGCCAGUGACCACCCACCUUGGGAUCCUCCCCAGGCUCAGCCAGGCAGCCAAGAACUCAGGAAGCAACCAAGGCCUGGGUGGUGCCUCAGGCAGUCACACCCACACCACCACUGCCAACAAGGUAGAGAUGCUGAAGGAGGAAGAGGAGGAGCUCAAGAAGAAGGUGGAACAGUGCAAGGACGAGUACCUGGCCGAUCUCUACCACUUCUCCACCAAGGAGGAUUCUUAUGCCAACUACUUUAUUCAUCUCUUGGAGAUUCAGGCUGACUACCACCGCAAGUCACUGACCUCACUCGACACGGCCCUAGCUGAGCUGAGGGACAACCACAGCCAAGCAGACCACUCCCCCUUGACGACGGCUGCCCCCUUCUCCAGGGUAUAUGGGGUAUCUUUGAGAACCCACCUACAAGACCUAGGCCGUGACAUUGCCCUGCCCAUCGAGGCCUGCGUCCUGUUGCUGCUGUCAGAGGGCAUGCAGGAGGAGGGCCUCUUCCGUCUGGCUGCUGGGGCCUCUGUGCUGAAGCGCCUUAAGCAGACCAUGGCCUCAGAUCCCCACAGCCUAGAGGAAUUCUGCUCAGACCCCCAUGCUGUAGCAGGUGCCCUCAAGUCCUAUCUCCGGGAGCUGCCGGAGCCCCUGAUGACCUCUGACCUCUACGAUGACUGGAUGAGAGCAGCCAGCCUGAAGGAGCCAGGAGCCCGCCUGGAAGCCCUCCAUGAUGUUUGCAGCCGUCUACCCCAAGAGAACUUCAACAACCUCAGGUACCUGAUGAAGUUCCUGGCUCUGCUGGCAGAGGAGCAGGAUGUAAACAAGAUGACACCCAGCAACAUCGCCAUUGUCCUAGGACCCAACCUGCUGUGGCCUCCCGAGAAAGAAGGGGACCAGGCCCAACUGGACGCUGCCUCUGUGUCCUCCAUUCAGGUGGUGGGUGUUGUCGAGGCGCUGAUACAGAACGCAGACACCCUCUUCCCUGGAGAUAUCAACUUCAAUGUAUCAGGCAUCUUCCCAGGCCUGGCCCCCCAGGAGAAGGUCAGUAGCCAACAGGUCUCAGAGGAGUUGCCACCUGUUACUGUGCCUGCCCCAGCCACGACCCCAGCUCCCACCCCGGCUCCAGCCUCAAUGGCUGUCAGAGAAAGGACAGAGGCUGACUUGCCCAAACCAACUUCUCCCAAGGUCAGCAGGAACCCCACCGAAACAGCUGCUUCGGCGGAGGACAUGACCCGUAAGACCAAGCGCCCAGCCCCAGCCCGGCCUACCAUGCCACCUCCCCAGCCCUCCAGCACCCGCUCAUCCCCUCCAGCUCCAUCCCUGCCCCCUGGCUCUGUCAGCCCUGGUACUCCCCAAGCUCUGCCUCGCCGUCUGGUGGGCACCAGCCUCCGGGCCCCUACCAUGCCUCCCCCGUUACCCCCUGUUCCUCCACAGCCUGCCCGGCGUCAGAGCCGGCGUUUACCAGCCUCCCCUGUCAUCUCAAAUAUGCCUGCUCAGGUGGACCAGGGAGUAGCUACAGAGGACAGAGGAGGCCCUGAGGCUGUGGGUGGGCAUCCCCCUCCACCAGCUCUGCCACCCCAGCCCCGGCCCAGGGGCCUCAUUUCAGAGACAGAGUAAGCAGGCCCUCCUACCUGGCAGGUCCUCAUUGUCCCUUUCUCUCUCCUGCCAUCCUCCCUCCCUUGUCCUCCCAGGAUGGCCCUUGUCCAGUGCCUGGGUGCCUGCUGGGCCGGCCCCUAUGGCCAGGAGGGCUCAGGCCAGCCCUCUCAUUUCUAACCUUUUCCUCUUCCACUUUGAGCUUGGGGUUCCCACCUGACUCCCCACUCUCCGGCAGGGUCUCAAGGGAGCUACCAGAAGGAAGAACAGACUUGCCUGUUCCUAGAGGACUUUUAUUUUUUUUCUCUUGCCAAUGUAUUUUUGUAAGGCUCGUAAAUAAAUUAUUUUGAACAAAA